Molecule: ribosomal RNA, 445 nt
Filed under: uncultured Actinomycetes bacterium
Lineage: Bacteria; Bacillati; Actinomycetota; Actinomycetes
Description: bacterial SSU rRNA
Rfam family: Bacterial small subunit ribosomal RNA
Source: RNAcentral
AGGCUUGACAUAUACAGGUAUAUGGCAGAAAUGUCAUAGCCGCAAGGUCUGUAUACAGGUGGUGCAUGGUUGUCGUCAGCUCGUGUCGUGAGAUGUUGGGUUAAGUCCCGCAACGAGCGCAACCCUCGUUCUGUGUUGCCAGCAUUUAGUUGGGGACUCACAGGAGACUGCCGGGGUUAACUCGGAGGAAGGUGGGGAUGACGUCAAAUCAUCAUGCCCCUUAUGUCUUGGGCUGCACGCAUGCUACAAUGGCUGGUACAAACGGCUGCGAUACCGUAAGGUGGAGCGAAUCCCAUAAAGUCGGUCUCAGUUCGGAUUGAGGUCUGCAACUCGACCUCAUGAAGUUGGAGUUGCUAGUAAUCGCGGAUCAGCAACGCCGCGGUGAAUACGUUCCCGGGCCUUGUACACACCGCCCGUCACGUCACGAAAGUCGGUAACACCCGAA